Molecule: non-coding RNA, 84 nt
Filed under: uncultured Clostridium sp.
Lineage: Bacteria; Bacillati; Bacillota; Clostridia; Eubacteriales; Clostridiaceae
Description: Purine riboswitch
Rfam family: Purine riboswitch aptamer
About the family: Riboswitches are metabolite binding domains within certain messenger RNAs that serve as precision sensors for their corresponding targets. Allosteric rearrangement of mRNA structure is mediated by ligand binding, and this results in modulation of gene expression. A class of riboswitches that selectively recognises guanine and becomes saturated at concentrations as low as 5 nM.
Source: RNAcentral
UAAGACAACUCAUAUAGGCCCCGGAUAUGGUGGGGUGUUUCUACCGGAAGCCGUGAAUUUCCGACUAUGGGUGAGAUUGAUAUA